AAUUUACUCUAAAAAUAUUGAGAAAAGGGCGGGUAUCGCGUAAAAGAAAAAGAAAAAUCUAAGUCUCCUCCGCUCCUUGUGCCGCCGCCAAGACGAACAGGGGAGGGCCGGGCGGCGAGACGAGCAGAGCAGCGGAGGGGAGGGGAUCCUGUCAUGGAAAUUAAUACUGGUGAUAUAAGGGGCUAUGCUUAUGUUCCCUCUCGCAAGGCCGCCGGGUCGCCAUUAUGCCGACGCCACGCUCCGCAGGGGGCAGUGGCGGCUCUCCCACCACCUCCGCGCCGCAGCCGCAGCCACAAGCGGUGGUGGUGCGCCCGACGUGUUCGAUGCAGUGCCUGCCCUGGACGACCGCAUGCGGUGCAGCGCGCUGCUCAGGGAGCGCGCAGUGGGAGGGGACCACUACGGGUGCACCUCCCUCCUCCGGUGGAUGCUGGCCCGGGGACUUCGCCCCAACAGGCUGGCGCUCGCUGCGGCGGUCAAAUCGUCGUCCGCGCUCCCCGACUGCCGCGGCGGCGCGGCGCUCGGGAGGUGCCUCCACGGGCUCGCUGUCAAGGUCGGGUACGCGGAUGGCGCGGUGGUGGCAAAGGCGGUCAUGGACAUGUACGGGAGGAUCGGGUCUCUCGCGGACGCCCACACGGUGUUUGAUGAGAUGAGCUGCUCCGACGCGGUAUGUAGGAACAUCCUGAUCACUGCCUCCUCCCGUGCUGGACUUUACAACGAUGUGUUCCAUUUGUUCCGUGCAAUGCUUGCUAGUGGUGUAGAUGAGAGCAUGCCAACUGCAGUCACGGUCGCUGUCGUCCUUCCGGUGUGCGCAAAGUUGAGGGUGCUGAGGGCUGGAAGGAGUAUCCACGGCUAUGUCAUCAAGACUGGUUUGGAGUUUGACACUCUGUCUGGAAAUGCUUUGGUAUCAAUGUACGCAAAAUGUGGUGGGAGCAUAGCUAUGGAUGAUGCGCAUCUAGCAUUUUCUACAAUUUGUUGCAAGGAUGUGGUUUCAUGGAACUCAAUCAUUGCGGGAUAUUCUGAGAAUGGGUUGUUUGAAGAAGCACUUGCACUGUUUGGUCAGAUGAUCUCAGAGGAAUGCCUUCCAAACUAUUCAACAUUGGCUAAUGUUCUUCCCUUCUGUUCACUUGUGGAGUAUGGGAGGCACUAUGGGAAAGAAAUUCAUGGUUUUGUGGUCCGACAUGGUUUAGAAAUGGAUAUAUCUGUUAGCAAUGCGCUGAUGGCACAUUAUUCCAAGGUUUGUGAAAUGAGGGCUGUAGAAUCAAUAUUUAGAAGUUCAAAAAUGGGAGAUAUCGUUACAUGGAACACUGUCAUUGCGGGAUAUGUGAUGAAUCGGUAUCCCUCAAGGGCAUUGAAACUGUUUCAGGGGCUUUUGUUUGCCGGAAUGGCUCCUGAUUCUGUUUCUCUUAUCAGCCUACUUACUGCUUGUGCCCAAGUAGGCAAUCUCAGAGUGGGCAUCAGGGUUCAUGGUUAUAUUUUUCGACAUCCUGAACUUCUUCAAGAAACAUCAUUAAUGAAUGCUCUUGUCAGCUUUUACAGCCAGUGUGACAGGUUUGAUGCUGCUUUUCGAUCUUUUAUCACUAUUCAGAACAAAGACUCAGUAUCCUGGAACGCAAUUCUCUCUGCUUGUGCAAACAGUGAACACCAUAUUGAACAGUUCUUUAGACUCCUUGGUGAAAUGUGGCAUGACGUAACUCAGUGGGACUCUGUCACGAUCUUGAAUAUUAUCCGCAUGAGUACGUUCUGUGGGAUUAAGAUGGUUCAAGAAUCUCAUGGAUAUUCCUUGCGAGUCGGUUAUACUGGUGAUUCUUCAGUUGCGAAUGCUAUUCUAGACGCAUAUGCAAAGUGUGGCUACCUGCAUGAUGCAGAAACACUCUUCAGAAGCCUUGCAGGACGGAACAUUGUUACUGGCAAUACAAUGAUUUCUUGCUACCUAAAAAAUAAUUGUGUGGAGGAUGCUGAGAUGACCUUCAACCAUAUGGCUGAGAAAGAUUUAACUACAUGGAAUCUGAUGAGCCGGUUGUAUGCACAGAACGAUUUGUGUGAUCAAGCUUUUUGCUUGUUCCAUCAGUUGCAAUCUGAAGGACUAAACCCUGAUACUAUAAGCAUUACAAAUAUUCUUUCGGCUUGCAUCCAUCUGAGCUCAGUGCAACUUGUGAAACAAUGCCAUGGUUACAUGCUUAGAGCAUCCCUAGAAGAUAUUCAUCUAGAAGGAGCACUUCUUGAUGCAUACUCUAAGUGUGGGAACAUAGCCAAUGCAUACAACCUCUUUCAAGUUAGCCUGCAUAAGGACCUUGUCAUAUUCACAGCCAUGAUAGGAGCUUAUGCAAUGCAUGGAAUGGCAGAAAAGGCGGUAGAACUAUUCUCCAAAAUGCUUACACUUGACAUUAAGCCAGACCAUGUAGUUCUGACUGCUCUUCUGUCAGCCUGCAGUCAUGCAGGGCUUGUCGAUGCUGGAAUUAAGAUUUUCAAGUCCAUCAGAGAGAUCUAUGGAGUUGAACCAACAGAAGAGCACUGUGCAUGCAUGGUUGACCUUCUUGCCCGUUCUGGGCGUCUCCAAGAUGCAUACAGUUUUGCGUUGGAUAUGCCUCCUCAUGUGGUCAAUGCCAAUGCAUGGGGCUCCUUGCUAGGGGCAUGCAAGGUCCAUGGAGAGGUCAAAAUUGGUCAGCUUGCAGCUGAUCGCUUGUUCUCCAUGGAGGCUGAGGACAUCGGGAACUAUGUGAUCAUGUCAAACAUCUUUGCGGCUGAUGAUAAAUGGGAAAGUGUUGAGCAUGUCAGGAAACUGAUGAAAUCCAAGGAUAUGAAAAAACCUGCAGGAUGCAGCUGGAUUGAGGUUGAGAAGACACGGCAUUUGUUUGUAGCCAGUGAUGUUCAGCACCAAGAUAGGUUUUCUAUCUACGAUGUGUUGGGAAGUUUGUAUCAGCAAAUCAGAGGUACACAGGGAGGGACAGAACAUUUAGUUGUGACUUAUGAGCUGUGACAUAAAACACUCAGUAAAUUACUUGGUGUUCUGGCCCCGUCAUUGUUUUGGGUUGCCAAAGAUCUCCAUGGAACUGAGUGACCUUUCCAUCACAUCUUCCGUGGACAACAAAUGGAGACAUCUGCUUACAACCGUGAACCGGUUGGAGUGUCUUUGUCAGCUCAAAAAAAGAUUGGUUCCUGGCGAUGCAUUGUUCUUCCUGAGGGGAACAGCUGACGCAGCACAGACGUCCGAAGCUAGCAAGGCAUCCUCGUCCUCACGUACGUCCGAUCUGCCCCCUUCCACGCCGUGGUUCCGGGAGCUGUGGGUCAACGCCGACAAAUAGUUGCAGCCGUCGCCUAAGGUAUGUCAAAUCGAGAGAGGAGAUUGGACGCUGUGGCGCUGUGUUCUGUGUGGUUGGUGGUGCUUCUUGGGUCAUUUGCAAACACCUCCUCUAAGAUAGCCUGUCUGCAAACACCACUUUCUUAAUCGAGAAGGUGGUACUUCUUGAUUCUAAUUGAUGAAUCAAGAAAGAUGGAGUCUAGUAUAUACAAAAUGUGGUCAUUUGCAAAGCAGACAGAGAAAAGGGUUGAAGAUCUAUAUUCAGAUGUGAAAAAGGCGAAGAUGAACUUGAUGAAGGAAUCUAAACAUUCAGUAGAUCCAGAAGCUCCCUUGCUCAUAGCAUAGACCCUUGAAUUUUAUUGAAUAGUUAGUUUAUGAAACUUUCGUUACUGAAUAUAUGCCAGGGUGUGCCCCCAAGAAUCACGUAUUUUUGGAAUUUGAAAUGAAAUAGUACCAAACAAAUUUGGAGAGUGAUGAACUUUUUUCUUUAGUGACUAAUGUUUUAUAUUUUUGUCAA
Non-coding RNA from Oryza sativa Japonica Group (Japanese rice), 3815 nucleotides. The record is from RefSeq and is a predicted model, not a curated record. Lineage: Eukaryota; Viridiplantae; Streptophyta; Magnoliopsida; Poales; Poaceae.